Molecule: ribosomal RNA, 482 nt
Filed under: uncultured bacterium
Lineage: Bacteria
Description: partial 16S ribosomal RNA
Rfam family: Bacterial small subunit ribosomal RNA
Source: RNAcentral
AUUGAACGCUGGCGGCAUGCCUUACACAUGCAAGUCGAACGGUAACGGGCCUUCGGGUGCCGACGAGUGGCGAACGGGUGAGUAAUACAUCGGAACGUGCCCGAUCGUGGGGGAUAACGAGGCGAAAGCUUUGCUAAUACCGCAUACGAUCUACGGAUGAAAGCCGGGGACCGCAAGGCCUUGCGCGGACGGAGCGGCCGAUGGCAGAUUAGGUAGUUGGUGGGAUAAAAGCUUACCAAGCCGACGAUCUGUAGCUGGUCUGAGAGGAUGAUCAGCCACACUGGGACUGAGACACGGCCCAGACUCCUACGGGAGGCAGCAGUGGGGAAUUUUGGACAAUGGGCGCAAGCCUGAUCCAGCCAUGCCGCGUGCAGGAUGAAGGCCUUCGGGUUGUAAACUGCUUUUGUACGGAACGAAAAGCCUUCUUUUAAUACAGGAGGGUCAUGACGGUACCGUAAGAAUAAGCACCGGCUAACUACGUG